UACGUAGGUCCCGAGCGUUGUCCGGACUUAUUGGGCGUAAAGCGAGCGCAGGUGGUUUAUUAAGUCUGGUGUAAAAGGCAGUGGCUCAACCAUUGUAUGCAUUGGAAACUGGUAGACUUGAGUGCAGGAGAGGAGAGUGGAACUCCAUGUGUAGCGGUGAAAUGCGUAGAUAUAUGGAGGAACACCGGUGGCGAAAGCGGCUCUCUGGCCUGUAACUGACACUGAGGCUCGAAAGCGUGGGGAGCAAACAGG
RNAcentral lists this ribosomal RNA (252 nucleotides) under uncultured bacterium. Its description in RNAcentral is "partial 16S ribosomal RNA". It matches the Rfam family "Bacterial small subunit ribosomal RNA", at positions 524 to 776 of the family's 1533-position model. The record is from RNAcentral.